Molecule: ribosomal RNA, 253 nt
Filed under: uncultured bacterium
Lineage: Bacteria
Description: partial 16S ribosomal RNA
Rfam family: Bacterial small subunit ribosomal RNA
Source: RNAcentral
GACAGAGGCCUCAAGCGUUAGGCGGAAUCACUGGGCUUAAAGCGUGUGUAGGCGGAUCGUUAAGUGUCUUGUGAAAUCCCACGGCUCACCCGUGGAACUGCUGAGCAUACUGGCGAUCUUGGGCCAACUAGGGGCAACUGGAACAAGCGGUGGAGCGGUGAAAUGCGUAGAUAUCAGGAGGAACACCGGUGGUGUAGACGGCUUUCUGGACCGUAACUGACGCUGAGACACGAAAGCGUGGGUAGCAAACAGG